GUGUGUGAGCUCUCUCUCUCUCUCUCUCUUUUAUUGGUGACACACAAAUACUGAAGUUUAGCAAGAAUUGAGAGUAAAAUAUCAAGGCAUUUUGCAAGAAAUUCUUGUGUGUUUCAAGAAGUGCGAACCUGAAGCUAUAUGAACCAGAUAGAAAAACCAAUGUUAUGUUUCUCUCUUUUAUUCUAGUUCAAUUGUAGUAUGGCUUUUAAGUUGUACCUUUUUGUUUUCUUGAUAAGCAAAUUAUCACAGGUACUUGAAUUGUAAUGGUCAAGUUAGAAUUAACUUGAAGGUGUUUUAACAUCCUGUAGCUGGUUGCUACAAGGGUUAGAGGUAAUACUUAUGUCUACAAGAGUUUUCUCUACACUUUUAUUUGGCUCAG
Molecule: long non-coding RNA, 379 nt
Filed under: Nicotiana benthamiana
Lineage: Eukaryota; Viridiplantae; Streptophyta; Magnoliopsida; Solanales; Solanaceae
Description: long non-coding RNA (NBEN_LNC027937)
Source: RNAcentral